RNAcentral lists this ribosomal RNA (706 nucleotides) under uncultured Enterobacteriaceae bacterium. RNAcentral's name for it is "bacterial SSU rRNA". It matches the Rfam family "Bacterial small subunit ribosomal RNA", at positions 795 to 1502 of the family's 1533-position model. The record is from RNAcentral. Lineage: Bacteria; Pseudomonadati; Pseudomonadota; Gammaproteobacteria; Enterobacterales; Enterobacteriaceae.
UCACGCUGUAAACGAUGUCGAUUUGGAGUUUGGGGGCAUGACCCUUGGGCUCGGAGCUAACGCGUUAAAUCGACCGCUGGGGAGUACGGCCGCAAGGUUAAAACUCAAAUGAAUUGACGGGGGCCCGCACAAGCGGUGGAGCAUGUGGUUUAAUUCGAUGCAACGCGAAGAACCUUACCUGGUCUUGACAUCCAUAGAAUCUUUCAGAGAUGAGGGAGUGCCUUCGGGAGCUAUGAGACAGGUGCUGCAUGGCUGUCGUCAGCUCGUGUUGUGAAAUGUUGGGUUAAGUCCCGCAACGAGCGCAACCCCUAUCCUUUGUUGCCAGCACGUAAUGGUGGGAACUCAAAGGAGACUGCCGUUGAUAAAGCGGAGGAAGGGGGGGACGACGUCAAGUCAUCAUGGCCCUUACGACCAGGGCUACACACGUGCUACAAUGGCGUAUACAAAGGGAUGCGAAGGUGCGAACUGGAGCGGACCUCACAAAGUACGUCUAAGUCCGGAUUGGAGUCUGCAACUCGACUCCAUGAAGUCGGAAUCGCUAGUAAUCGUGAAUCAGAAUGUCACGGUGAAUACGUUCCCGGGCCUUGUACACACCGCCCGUCACACCAUGGGAGUGGGUUGCACCAGAAGUAGAUAGCUUAACCUUCGGGAGGGCGUUUACCACGGUGUGGUUCAUGACUGGGGUGAAGUCGUAACAAGGUAACCA